RNAcentral lists this ribosomal RNA (253 nucleotides) under uncultured bacterium. RNAcentral's name for it is "partial 16S ribosomal RNA". It matches the Rfam family "Bacterial small subunit ribosomal RNA", at positions 524 to 776 of the family's 1533-position model. The record is from RNAcentral.
UACGUAGGGCGCAAGCGUUGUCCGGAAUCAUUGGGCGUAAAGCGCGCGUAGGCGGCCCGAUAAGUCCGCUGUGAAAGUCAACGGCUCAACUGUUGGAUGCCGGUGGAUACUGUCGGGCUAGAGUACGGAAGAGGCAAGUGGAAUUCCUGGUGUAGCGGUGGAAUGCGCAGAUAUCAGGAGGAACACCUAUAGCGAAGGCAGCUUGCUGGGACGUUACUGACGCUAAGGCGCGAAAGCGUGGGGAGCGAACAGG